UGGAUGUCUGGAGUUUUGAUCUCCUCCAUACCUGCUUCAUGCCCUGGAGGACGGGGCUGUGGCCCCCCCACACCCUCUAGCAGAUCAUUACAUGAAGGAACCUUUUAAAAAACAAAAAACAAGCGCGUCCAUGCUCACAGGUGUACACACGGGUGAUCACACCCACAAACUACACCCUUUUUGGCUCCUACCUCAAAGCACACUGUGUUCUGUUGAUCUUAUGUGCUGCACAAUAAUGUUUAAUAUUUAGUAUUUACUGUCAUAUUCCCAUAUAUCAUUGUGAUGUUGUUUAUUCUAUUACUCUUGUUAUCUUCUGCUUGUUUUCUUUUUUCUUUCUCAGCAGGUGACCCAGGUGAUUGAUAUAUGCAUUUUUUUUUCUUAUUUUUUUUUCUGCUCAUUCUGUUGGUUUUUGGUUUUUGCCCUUCUCCCCCGUCCCUCUUCUCAGCUGUUUCUCUUUCCCUCUUUCUUUCUCCCCUUCUUUCCCCCAGUCAAGUCUGUCCCAUAUUCAGUAAGUGAAAAUAAAAUGAACAAUAAAAGGUGAAUCAAAUGGACCAUUACGGCAAGGCUGGGAUGGUCAAUUUGGUAAAGUAAAUCCGUUGGGCAUCUUUCUUUGCCUUUAGACAACAAUUCUGAUGGCAAAAGAGCCAAACGGGACAGGCAAAAAGAAAAAAAAAAAAACAGUCUUUGUCUUGAUCUCAGUCUUUGUCACAGUGGUUAUUGAGAUUCCCCGUGUGAUUUCCUUUGUGUACUCUUGUGACUGUUGCUGUUUUCUUGCAGCUUGGACUUUCUGUUUGGCUCCUGUAUCAAGAUCCUCAUCAGAGAUGCCAUUUGGGUCCUGCACUCUACCGUGUUUUGACAAUAUGAUAGAACUUCAUUGCUUCCCUUGUGUACGACCGGCAAGUCUGCAAAUUUUCUUCUACAAGUAGCACUUUAUAAAUAACUUACCAUAGAUGGUCGGGGCCUUUGACAUUAUAAACCCUUUAGAAGCAUGCAACCCUGCAAUAUUAUGCCCUA
Long non-coding RNA from Astatotilapia calliptera (eastern happy), 1014 nucleotides. NCBI's taxonomy places the organism in Eukaryota, Metazoa, Chordata, Actinopteri, Cichliformes, Cichlidae. The record is from Ensembl.